CGUCAGCUCAAGUGCUUUCCACGAAAGUUUCCAUUCCCCCUGCCAGAUCAGGAGGCAGGGAGGGUGUGCAGCUCCCCUAGCUCCAGGGCCAGAGGGACUGUCCGGGCCAGGCGGAAGGCCCCUAUUGGGUAGAGAGAAUGUGUUACCAGCAGGAACCACAGGAUAUGUGGGACCCAAACUGCUAAAGUCAAAGACCUUUGUGACCUGUAGGAUCUCAGAUACCCUUGUUGCAGCCUGCCAGUGGAGCAAAGCUUCGUGAAGUUACCUUGAUGAGCUGAUGAAGAGACUCUUUUCUCUGGCGACCACCAAGAUUUCUUUUCUCCGGGAGACCACCAAGUCAGAGUGUCUCGAUAAAUGACUUACCCAAAAUUGUAGCGUCAGCAAACGGUGGAGUCGAGAAGGCGUGUUCUGAAGUUACCGAUGAACCGUCUCUACUACAGCCUCCGCCCAAAAGGAGGUCUAAAGGAGAAGGGCCUCCCCACGCACACAGAUGGCAGGGGGAAAGAGACAAGAAUACAGGCUGGGUGGGCUUGGUGGGCCCUGAGUGUUGUCUCCGGGCCUUCAGGUCACUUUCAGAGGUUUGCGUCUUGCGUUUGGGUGAGAAGAGUAAGAUCUUAGAACUCCGUGACUUCUGAGUGAUUUCUCAGUCAGUGUUGGGUGGAAUCCAGGGGGGACAGUUAGGGCCCCCAGCCUGUUCUCCAGAAUAGGGUCUAGCACACAAAUGGGGGAGGAGAGGCAAGAGAGGAAGAAUGGAGAGUCUAAGGGAAAGCCAGAGACUCUGUCAUCCUGUCCCAGACUUGAAUCUGAUGAGAGAUGCUGGGUCCCCAGCCUGCUCUGUGAAAUGGGAAGACUGAAGACACCUCU
Molecule: long non-coding RNA, 864 nt
Organism: Peromyscus eremicus (cactus mouse)
Lineage: Eukaryota; Metazoa; Chordata; Mammalia; Rodentia; Cricetidae
Exons: 3
Source: RefSeq, a predicted model, not a curated record